This 402-nucleotide ribosomal RNA is filed under the name uncultured bacterium. Its description in RNAcentral is "partial 16S ribosomal RNA". It matches the Rfam family "Bacterial small subunit ribosomal RNA", at positions 30 to 526 of the family's 1533-position model. The record is from RNAcentral.
AUUGAACGCUGGCGGCAGGCCUAACACAUGCAAGUCGAACGAGUGGGGACGGGUGAGUAACGCGUGGGUAACCUCCCAUCAGAGGGGAUAACACUUGGAAACAGGUGCUAAACCGAUACUGCUGGAUGGACCUGGGGUGCAUUAGCUAGUUGGUGGGGUAACGGCUAACCAAGGCCACGAUCCAUAGCCGACCUGAGAGGGUGAUCGGCCACACUGGAACUGAGACACGGCCCAGACUCCUACGGGAGGCAGCAGUGGGGAAUCUUCGGCAAUGGGCGAAAGUCUGACCGAGCAACGCCGCGUGAGUGAAGAAGGUUUUCGGAUCGUAAAGCUCUGUUGUUAGGGAAGCGUUAUUUAACCAGAAAGCCACGGCUAACUACGUGCCAGCAGCCGCGGUAAUUC